RNAcentral lists this ribosomal RNA (2923 nucleotides) under Klebsiella pneumoniae. RNAcentral's name for it is "bacterial LSU rRNA". It matches the Rfam family "Bacterial large subunit ribosomal RNA". Lineage: Bacteria; Pseudomonadati; Pseudomonadota; Gammaproteobacteria; Enterobacterales; Enterobacteriaceae. The record is from RNAcentral. RNAcentral also lists the same sequence under 1 other name.
GGGUUGUGAGGUUAAGCGACUAAGCGUACACGGUGGAUGCCCUGGCAGUCAGAGGCGAUGAAGGACGUGCUAAUCUGCGAAAAGCGUCGGUAAGGUGAUAUGAACCGUUAUAACCGGCGAUGUCCGAAUGGGGAAACCCAGUGCAAUUCGUUGCACUAUCGUUAACUGAAUACAUAGGUUAACGAGGCGAACCGGGGGAACUGAAACAUCUAAGUACCCCGAGGAAAAGAAAUCAACCGAGAUUCCCCCAGUAGCGGCGAGCGAACGGGGAGCAGCCCAGAGUCUGAAUCAGCUUGUGUGUUAGUGGAACGGUCUGGAAAGUCCGACGGUACAGGGUGAUAGUCCCGUACACCAAAAUGCACAGGCUGUGAACUCGAAGAGUAGGGCGGGACACGUGGUAUCCUGUCUGAAUAUGGGGGGACCAUCCUCCAAGGCUAAAUACUCCUGACUGACCGAUAGUGAACCAGUACCGUGAGGGAAAGGCGAAAAGAACCCCGGCGAGGGGAGUGAAAAAGAACCUGAAACCGUGUACGUACAAGCAGUGGGAGCACCUUCGGGUGUGACUGCGUACCUUUUGUAUAAUGGGUCAGCGACUUAUAUUCUGUAGCAAGGUUAACCGUAUAGGGGAGCCGCAGGGAAACCGAGUCUUAACUGGGCGUUAAGUUGCAGGGUAUAGACCCGAAACCCGGUGAUCUAGCCAUGGGCAGGUUGAAGGUUGGGUAACACUAACUGGAGGACCGAACCGACUAAUGUUGAAAAAUUAGCGGAUGACUUGUGGCUGGGGGUGAAAGGCCAAUCAAACCGGGAGAUAGCUGGUUCUCCCCGAAAGCUAUUUAGGUAGCGCCUCGUGAAUUCAUCUUCGGGGGUAGAGCACUGUUUCGGCUAGGGGGUCAUCCCGACUUACCAACCCGAUGCAAACUACGAAUACCGAAGAAUGUUAUCACGGGAGACACACGGCGGGUGCUAACGUCCGUCGUGAAGAGGGAAACAACCCAGACCGCCAGCUAAGGUCCCAAAGUCAUGGUUAAGUGGGAAACGAUGUGGGAAGGCACAGACAGCCAGGAUGUUGGCUUAGAAGCAGCCAUCAUUUAAAGAAAGCGUAAUAGCUCACUGGUCGAGUCGGCCUGCGCGGAAGAUGUAACGGGGCUAAACCAUGCACCGAAGCUGCGGCAGCGACACUAUGUGUUGUUGGGUAGGGGAGCGUUCUGUAAGCCUGCGAAGGUGACCUGUGAGGGUUGCUGGAGGUAUCAGAAGUGCGAAUGCUGACAUAAGUAACGAUAAAGCGGGUGAAAAGCCCGCUCGCCGGAAGACCAAGGGUUCCUGUCCAACGUUAAUCGGGGCAGGGUGAGUCGACCCCUAAGGCGAGGCCGAAAGGCGUAGUCGAUGGGAAACAGGUUAAUAUUCCUGUACUUGGUGUUACUGCGAAGGGGGGACGGAGAAGGCUAUGUUAGCCGGGCGACGGUUGUCCCGGUUUAAGCAUGUAGGCUGGUUGUCCAGGCAAAUCCGGAUAAUCAAGGCUGAGGUGUGAUGACGAGGCACUACGGUGCUGAAGUAACAAAUGCCCUGCUUCCAGGAAAAGCCUCUAAGCAUCAGGUAACAUCAAAUCGUACCCCAAACCGACACAGGUGGUCAGGUAGAGAAUACCAAGGCGCUUGAGAGAACUCGGGUGAAGGAACUAGGCAAAAUGGUGCCGUAACUUCGGGAGAAGGCACGCUGGUGUGUAGGUGAAGUCCCUGCGGAUGGAGCUGAGACCAGUCGAAGAUACCAGCUGGCUGCAACUGUUUAUUAAAAACACAGCACUGUGCAAACACGAAAGUGGACGUAUACGGUGUGACGCCUGCCCGGUGCCGGAAGGUUAAUUGAUGGGGUUAUCCGUAAGGAGAAGCUCUUGAUCGAAGCCCCGGUAAACGGCGGCCGUAACUAUAACGGUCCUAAGGUAGCGAAAUUCCUUGUCGGGUAAGUUCCGACCUGCACGAAUGGCGUAAUGAUGGCCAGGCUGUCUCCACCCGAGACUCAGUGAAAUUGAACUCGCUGUGAAGAUGCAGUGUACCCGCGGCAAGACGGAAAGACCCCGUGAACCUUUACUAUAGCUUGACACUGAACAUUGAGCCUUGAUGUGUAGGAUAGGUGGGAGGCUUUGAAGCGUGGACGCCAGUCUGCGUGGAGCCAACCUUGAAAUACCACCCUUUAAUGUUUGAUGUUCUAACGUUGGCCCCUUAUCGGGGUUGCGGACAGUGUCUGGUGGGUAGUUUGACUGGGGCGGUCUCCUCCCAAAGCGUAACGGAGGAGCACGAAGGUUAGCUAAUCCUGGUCGGACAUCAGGAGGUUAGUGCAAUGGCAUAAGCUAGCUUGACUGCGAGCGUGACGGCGCGAGCAGGUGCGAAAGCAGGUCAUAGUGAUCCGGUGGUUCUGAAUGGAAGGGCCAUCGCUCAACGGAUAAAAGGUACUCCGGGGAUAACAGGCUGAUACCGCCCAAGAGUUCAUAUCGACGGCGGUGUUUGGCACCUCGAUGUCGGCUCAUCACAUCCUGGGGCUGAAGUAGGUCCCAAGGGUAUGGCUGUUCGCCAUUUAAAGUGGUACGCGAGCUGGGUUUAGAACGUCGUGAGACAGUUCGGUCCCUAUCUGCCGUGGGCGCUGGAGAAUUGAGGGGGGCUGCUCCUAGUACGAGAGGACCGGAGUGGACGCAUCACUGGUGUUCGGGUUGUCAUGCCAAUGGCACUGCCCGGUAGCUAAAUGCGGAAGAGAUAAGUGCUGAAAGCAUCUAAGCACGAAACUUGCCCCGAGAUGAGUUCUCCCUGAGACUUUAAGUCUCCUGAAGGAACGUUGAAGACGACGACGUUGAUAGGCCGGGUGUGUAAGCGCAGCGAUGCGUUGAGCUAACCGGUACUAAUGAACCGUGAGGCUUAACCUUACAACGCCGAAG